UAUCAUAAAAAUCGAAUUGCAAGUUUACCUGUUUUAGAUAGGGCUGUUGGGUGUUGGCUUAUAGAUGUGAUUCAGAGUGAUCAUUUCAUUUCUUUUUUGUUGCAAACUGUCCACUUCUGUAACAUGAUCGUUGUUAGUUUGUACUGUUUUCCAUUAGUAUUUCGGUGUGUAGCUUUCCUUUGAGUUACCCUUUUCUUUGUAAGCUUGGAUGGGGCUAAGGAGACCACUUCAUAGCUGAAAUAUUUAUACAUGCCUUUUAAGCAUUCAAUUUUCAAUUUUCGAUUUUGGCCUAGAGUUCAAUCGUUAUUGUUAGUUUGUACUGUUUUCCAUUAGUAUUUCCGUGUACAGCUUUCCUUUGAGUUAACCUUUUCCUUGUAUGCUUGGAUCGGGCUAAGGAGACCACUUCAUAGCUGAAAUAUUUUUGCGUGCGAUCAACUUGAAGAAGCUGACGUAUGAGGAAAGGAAAGCUAAGUUGAUUGAACGAUUACACACACUGAAUGCCGCUGCCGGUGCGGAUUCCAAAGACGAGGAUUGAAUGUAGGAUGCUGAUUUCAAAAAUACUGAACUUGUUUACCUGCUUUUAGUCAAAUCAGGGGUGGUUAUGUUCCAUUAUCUUCAAACAUCAGUUCAUCACAGAGAGGCUAAAUUCCUCUAUUCUAACAGGUUAAAUCCCAAAGUUCUCAAACCUUCAUCUUCAAUGGCCUGUCUUGAAUCAAAGUUAGUUGCCUGUAACAAGAACAAUGGAAGCCUACUUUGAUGCUUAUAAGAAUGUACAAAUCUCCAUAGCUUGAUGUUCCUUUUCUCUAAUAGCUUCUUCUGUAAUGUAUAUAAUUUCAAACAUAUGUGUAUCUCCUUGAAUUGAAAUGAUAAACAAGAGGAAACUUCUCUUGGCAAAGCCUUCAAUUGAGUUUACGCAACAGCUUAAGCUCAUGUGAGAAAAGAAGAGAAAUGUUAUAUGGUUUGUAAUAUGAAUUUUGGUGAUAUCGAACAUGUUUUCCAUUUCUUUUUAGGUUUAUCGUAAUUGUAAAUAUAACUGACACUAAACCAAUUAAUUGCUUGUAACGAAUACGAGUACUUAAAUCAAACUUUAUACGAGAUUGAUAAUAAGAUUGAUAAUAAGUGUCUUCAGAUUAAGCGCACAUAUCAUAUCUUGUUCAUUUCUUCUGGAGAUGAUGGGGCUUACAUACUUCAUACUUGAUCAAUCAAGAAAAGACAUGAAAGAAUCGUACAGGUAUUAAAUAUGACAUUUACUCUGUAUAUGUAUUAUAUUGCAGAUUGGGUAAAAGUUAAGGGACCAAUUUUGGUAUUAACCUUAAAUCUUAUAUAAAGGUACGGAAAUACGAAAUUACUUGUCUCUUGUCACAUUUAACACUAAUUUUUUGCAUCACUAGCCUUUCUACGAAAGCAUAGACAUUUCUCUUUCUUCACCGCCACUCAACGGCCGCCGUCAGCGUUCUCAGCUCGGCUUACCGGACCUCCUCUAUACUCAAGUCUUCAAAGUUUGCUCCGAAGGCAGACAUAAGCUAGUGAAGCCGAACCACAAAACAAAAGCGGAAAACACUCCGGUUCCUAUCGCCGGCCGUCGGACAGGUCUGUAGUUUUCUUAUCUUAUGGCGAUGUGUGUGGAAGACAGGAUCAGUAGUUUCCCUGAUCAUAUUCUGUCAUAUUUUGUCAUUCCUUCCCAUCGAAGAAGCAGUUCGAACCUCUAUUAUUUCAACCAAGUGGAGAUACCUCUUUGCUUCAAUUUCUACCAUUAAAUUUGAUGGUCAUUUAAUGAGGGGUUUGACUGACAGAAAUGUUGACAGCUUCAAGAACUUUGUUGAUAGGUUAUUGAAAUUCCCCGAUCAGGUAAGUUUAGAUUGCUUUAGGCUAGAUGAUAUUGUUUCAUGGAAUGAUAAAGAUCGUAAUUUUGAUGUUUCUGAUUGGAUAUGUGCUGCAUUGUGCCGUGGUGUUAAGGAAAUUGAUUUGGACUUAGACAAUCUUGGGGAUAUUUUACCAGCUCUUUUAUUCACUUGCCACUCACUGGUGACAUUGAAGUUGGUUGCAGUAGGUUCUGAGAUUACGGUCCCAUCUGACGUUUGUUUAGGGAAUCUGAAGACUUUGCAGCUUAGAAACGCCUCAUUUGUAGGUGAUUCCAUUCAUAGGUUAAUUUCCAAUUGCCAUGUCUUAGAAGAUUUGGCUUUUAUUCAUUGUGAUUCUGAUUAUUUGCGUGAGGUCAAUAUCCAAAGUCCUUCGCUUAAGAGAUUGGUUUUAGAUUUUGAUCUUGGAGAAUCUGGAAAUUUAGAUUAUGUGGUGGUGAUUAAUGCGCCAAAUCUUGUUUAUUUUCAAUAUACUGACGCAGUAGUUGAAGGCUAUACUUUGACUAACAUGAAGUCUCUAGAAAAAGCCCGUCUUAACAUCUGCGAGAAUGAUUCCAUUGAUUGUGAAACAAGUGCAACUCAUCUUAUUCAAGGAAUUCGCAGUGUGCGGUCUCUAAGUUUAACCACUGAUGAAGCGGUUAGUAAACUUAGUAUUCAUGUGUGAUUUUCCUUCUAACAUUAUACAAUUUAACAUUAUAUAAUAGCUCCAAGUUUUUGUCUGUCCAGAUUUUCCGAACAAGUCAACUUCCUAUAUUUCACAACCUUAUUGAAUUCGAAUAUGGUGGUCAUGGUUUUAAUGGGAUAGAAACUUGGCUUGUGGAGUUUCUACAUUGUGCGCCUAAUCUAGAGACACUUAACCUCAAUUUUCCGGUAUGAAGUCUUUAUCUAAGUUCGUGUGUAUUCGUUGCAGUUGAUUGUUUUAGUGUCAGUUACAUCCACAGUUACGAUAAAUUUAAAAGAAAUCGAAAGCAUGUUCGAGAUCACCUAAAUUCAUGGUACAAACCAAAUAACUUUUCUUCUUUUUUCAUGAGUUUAGGUUGAAGCGGGAACUCGAUGGAAGGCUUUACCUAUAGAAGUUCCUUCUUGUUUGUCAUUUCAUCUAAAGGAGAUUGAAAUUUCAUGCUUUGUGACACAUAUGAUUGAAAUGGUUAGUUAUUUCUUGGAUAAUGCAAUGGUUUUGGAAAAUCUCAUAAUAAGAACGAAGGGCCUGUCUGUGACACAGACAAGGAAAGUCAGCAACCAAUUAUUGCAGUUACUAAAGAGUUCAAAGAAAUGUCUAAUUGUGAUUUUGUAGUACUGUUUUAUAUUAUGGUUAGAACUUAUCAGUGUCUGAUUUGGUUUUGUAUAGAUGUGUUGUUUGUAAUACAUAUUUCACUGUUACUAUCCGAUACAUUCACUAAUCGCAGUAGACUAUACCUGAUGGUUGGUUUAUAUGUAUGUGUAUGUAUACUUGUGUAUAUAAUGUAUUGUAGCCGAAAGUAGCCUUUGAAAUUGAUAUUUAGCCCAAUGAUUAGCAAAAUAGAACCAUAUUUUAAUUUGUAAGAAACAAUCGUAUGAUAUGCGUUACACAACAAGCUCUGAUAGGAAGAAUAUCAGAUUGAUUUGGAGCUAUUUUAGAACAAGAAAAAGGGGAGCUCUCUAGCUAUAGAGAUUUGUACAUUCUUACCAACAGCAAAGGAUGCUUCCCUUGUUCCUGUUAUAGGCUAGCUUUGGUUCAACACAGGCCAUUGAAGAUGAAGGUUUGAGAACUUGAGAUUUUAGCAUGCUAGAAUACUGGAAUUUAGCUUUCCUAGGACUGAAAUGAUGUUUAAAUGAUGCUUGCGCCUUACAGGUCAGUCAGUGUUGAACAGUUUUCGAAGGCAACUGAAUUGUCAGAUUCUUGUGAAAUGCAAAUUCGGUUGAGUCAAAAUAUUUUAAUUUAAUAGGGGUUUGGAUUUUUAUUUUUAUUUUUUGCAUUUUUGUGGCUGAAAAUUAUAAAUUUUAUAAUCUAAUCCAUCUUUCCUCUCUUAUUUGCUAGCAACUUUUGAUGUAUUUAUGGUGUUCUUGUGAUUGAAUGUCACAAAUAUGCUAGCAACUUAUGAUUUUAUCGAAAUUUUGAAUAAUCCAAUGAUGAUUUUAUAAUUUUUCAAAAUUUAAUGUUUAAAAUGUAUAUUUACUAAAAGAUUAGUAAUUUUGGAUUUAGUUUAUACAAAACCAAAUCAGGUACCAAUAAGUUUUAACCAUAACAUAAAAUAGUACAAAGAAACCCCUACAGUGUAAGCAAAUUUUACUCUAAUACACUCCUAUAAUAUUCACAAUACACAAUGAUAGAAAUUUCUUGGUAGAAGUACCAUCAAGGUCCCUCUACUAAGAGUUAAAUUACAUUUUGCCUCUUUUAUUUAAGAAAAUGAGUAAAUUAGUCUCGUUAUAUUAGAUCAAAAAGCAUAUUGAUUAUUUUUGCUAAAAAUAUCAUCCCUAAAACCAGACAUGACUGACAAAAUAAUCAUGUUACGACUCACAUGUAUCUCAAGCUAAUGACUUAUAAGAAUAAAUUUUUAAUAGUAGGAAUGGAUGAAAAUUUUAAUAGAAAGAUCAAUUUACUUUUUAAUUUAACAUAUAAGAAUAAAUUUACUUAUUUUUUUAGGUAAAGGGGUCAAAAUAUAAUUUAACUUUUAGUAAAAAGGCCUUGAUGAUACUUUUCCCAAAUUAGUUUAGAGUUGAUAUUAUCAAAACUGACAGACCUGUAAGGCGCAAGCUUUGGUAUCAAUGGUGUGAGUUCUAUAAUCAAAUUAAGGGAUCUUCAAACAUUAUUUCAUUCCUAGAGAAUCUAAAUUCCAGUAUUCUGGCAGGCUAAAAUCUAAAGCUCUCAAACCUUCAUUUCCAAUGACCUGUGUUGAAUCAAAGCUAGCCUACAACAGGAACACUGGAAGCGUAGGCUUUCUUUUGGUUACGAUACAUAUAUAUUUAUGCAUAUACUUUUGUUUGAAUUCGUUGGUAACUGCAAUAACUGUUUGCAAACUUUCCAUUACCGUCUCCCAGACAGGGUUCACAUCCUUAUCAUGAGCUUUUCCAGUACCAUUGCAUUAUCAAAGAAAUAAGUAAUCAUUUCAAACAAACAAGAAGGACCUUGUAUAGGUAAAACCUUCCAUGGGGUUUCCACACCAUCCUAAACUCAUGAAAAAAGAAGAAUAGUGAUUUUGUUUGUACCAUGAAGUUAAGGUGAUCUCGAACAUGCUUUUGGUUUCUUCUAAGUUCAUCGUACUAGAACAAUCAAUUUCAUACCAGCAGAGUGAGGGUAAGUGUCAUGGCAAGUAAAUGAAAGAGCUGGUGAAGUGAGAACAUCCCCAAUAUUAGCUAAAUGUAAAUCACUUUCCUUAACAUCAUGGCACAAUGCAGUCAUUCCAAGAAAUCCCAUACCCGAUUGGGGGAUUUCAAUAACCUAUCAACAAAGUUGUUGAAGCUGUUAACAUUUCUGUCAGUCAAACUUCAAUGCGUUGCUAUCAUGUUCCUUAUUGCAGGAGGUGGAGCAGGAUCAAUAUGGUCGCAUUACAACAUGUAAGAUGAAUGAUUUAGUUCAUGAUCUUGCAAAUCCAUUUCUCAUAUUAGACAAGAAAAUGUUGUCAAUGGUGUGGGAUUGUGGCACUCUUUGUUCUUCGAGUCUAGCUCCAUCCGUGCUGUAAGGGACUUCAAAAGCUUACGAGUUCUUAUUUUUUGUGAGUCUCCUUGUCACUCUCUAUUGGCAGGCUAAAGCAUUUAAGAUACUUUGAGAUUUCAAGAACUUACAUAUGUAGAUUACCAAAGUCAUCAGCCAGCUCUACCAUUUGCAGACAUUCAAGAUUAUUUGGUUUUCAAGGGUGCUUGCCUGAAGGGACGGAACUACUUGUUCCAGUUACUAACCAAUUUGGUCUGAUCUGGUUGAACUAUGUAAGGUGACAUCCAAUCAUCCAUGUCGUAAUAAACUGACCAACCUGUGAAGCACAAGCAUUGGUGGUGUGAGUUCCAUAGUCAAAUCAGGGGUGGUGAUGUCUCAUUAUCUUCAAACAUCAAUUCAUCACAGAGAGGCUAAAUUUCAGUAUUCUAACAGGCUAAAUCCCAAAGUUCUCAAACCUUCAUUUUCAAUGGCC
Molecule: long non-coding RNA, 5962 nt
Filed under: Gossypium barbadense (sea-island cotton)
Lineage: Eukaryota; Viridiplantae; Streptophyta; Magnoliopsida; Malvales; Malvaceae
Description: long non-coding RNA (GBAR_LNC001047)
Source: RNAcentral